UGCCCAGUUAACUUAUUUACAAUAUUUAAGUUCUCUGCUUCUGCAUUUGGUUGGUUUCCUGAAGCGCAGCCCCUGUGAAUAACAGGUGGCUUUUCAUGGAUGUCUCUAGUCAGAGAAAAAUGAUAAAGGCUUAAAUUGAGGAUUAACAGAAGCAGAUUAACCUCAGAAAUCCUGUCUGGCUGGCAGAUUUCAAGUAAAAAAAAAAAAAAGGUGGGUUGGGGGGACCCUUUUCUUUCUAGUUGUCUUUAAGGAAAAUUAAUUUUACUUUUUUUUUUGUUCUGGCCGAAAUUUUUAUGAGAUAUCUCUCACUUGUCUUCCACUUUGAACCGGUUAAAGCUCAUAGCUGUCAGCUCUGAAUGAGGAGGGGAGAAGCCCCUGGGUCUUUCUUUGAAAGGAAUCCGCUGCUUGAGGGCUGCCUCCCUCAUGGUGUGCGUGUCGUUUCUCUUCCUGACGCAUCUUGUGAUAUCAGAGGUAACUAUGCAAAGCAUCCAGGCGGUUCUGAAUGUGAAGCACUACACCCAGCAGAGUCCCGGUGCCCUCUGUCCCCACUGCCGGCCCAUGUUCUCUCUCCGGAGGUCACCAAGGAAUGCACAGGUUUCGACUACCAGAAAGGGGAGUCCUUGGGUUCUUUCAAAAAAUUCGUGAGGAGAGCUGUCUACAGUGGAAUAGGGGGUCUCCCUGGGGAAUGCAGGCCAAGUCCUUUUAUUUUAACAUGAUGUCCAUGAAGAGGUUUGCCGUCUGGGCAGCCCUGUCGGCAAGGAGCGUGCAUACUGCGUUUGUGUAAUUGUUUGCUGUAUCUCCCUUCCCUCUGAGCUGUAUUGUUCUUUAAUGGCUGU
Molecule: long non-coding RNA, 836 nt
Filed under: Homo sapiens (human)
Lineage: Eukaryota; Metazoa; Chordata; Mammalia; Primates; Hominidae
Description: non-protein coding lnc-NUAK1-5:1
Source: RNAcentral